RNAcentral lists this long non-coding RNA (1611 nucleotides) under Olea europaea (common olive). Its description in RNAcentral is "long non-coding RNA (OEUR_LNC008244)". Lineage: Eukaryota; Viridiplantae; Streptophyta; Magnoliopsida; Lamiales; Oleaceae. The record is from RNAcentral.
GAAAUUCUCGCCAAAUUCUUGCUCUUCAUACUCAAAGUCUUCACUUGAUGGCGGGUGCCAUUGUGAAAUGUUUAGAUCCGGGGUUCCUGACAAUCAAAAAACAACUUAAUAAAGUGAUUAGAUGAGGAGGUGGAAAGAGACUUGUUAGCUUCAACCUUUUGGGGUCAACAAUUUUCAUCGUUCGUGGGAAAUAAUACGAUUUUCACAAUACAAACUACUAGAAAAAGCAUUUGGAAUUGAGAGUUUUCUAAAAAAAUUCCACAAGGUUGAGUGAACUCAAUGAGAGGAGUAUUAAGAAUAAGGCAGAAAUACAAAGGGCGAUGAGAAAUUCUAAAAAUUAAAAGCAUCUCCUCAAUCCUGAAAAUUUGUCCAAUCGAAGCUAUAAAAACACAAUAGGCGCAGAGAUCCUAUAGUGGGCAAACAAUAACCCUUCUUUAAUGCCUUUAUGAGAUAGGGCUUAUCCACAGGUAUGGUUUCCAUAGACUUCUUCAUAUCCCCCUCAUGAUUUAAGCAGAUUAAUCCACAGUUAUACAUUGUAGAGUAAGUCAUUAUGAAGAAAGAUUUACCAGCUUACAGCAGAGCUUGCAGGCUCCUUUCUUGUCCUCAGGGAGUUUAUGUUCCUUUAAAUAGGUGGUGAUCUCCUUCAUCCACGGAGAGGGUUCGCCAACCCAUAUUGCUACCUCCUCCGCUGGGUUUUUCUAGAUUAGUGAGCUUGUGAAAUUGCUCGAUAGUGACCAGUCCCGUAAAUUCAGAGUCCCCGAUAGCUUCAGUAAUCAUUUUUAGCCUUGGUAUCUGUAUGAGUUCAAACUUUUCAAAAUAUUUGGCGAGUCAAUGACCAAUUUUAAGUAUGUCGCCGUCAUAUUCUCUCAAGCAUUGAAGUUCCUGUUGAUUUGCCUCACCAGCAGUUGUGAGUCGUUGUAUACUUGGAAUCUUUUUAAGCAACUUUCCUUUACCAGUCCCAGACCUAUCAACUUUGCUUUGUAUUCUGCAACAUUAUUUGAGUAUUUGAAAUCAAAUCUAAGUGUACAGUUAAAAUUAUGCCCUUCAAGACUAACAAGCUGCUUGCGCCUGCCCAGGUUUGUCAGAAGAUCCAUUAACUUAACUUUUCUAGUUUGAAAAGAUAUAAUAAUGAACUAUUGGUUUUAAGCCAUUUCAGACUACUAACAAUAAUUUGAAAAGUUUUUUUUUUUUUUUCCUUCACUUUAAAUCCAAAAAAAAUUCUCUCACUUAUGUUCAGUAUUGAUUAAAAGAGGGAAAAGCUCAUUUUAGAAUAAAUGUUUCAAAUAACUUUAUGAAACUACAUCGGCUUGCGAGUGGAAAUUGCACCUAGAAGGUAUGCAAACUCUGCAGAAAGACUACAAGGGCCUGGCCUUCGAUCAAGGAUUGAGACUUCAAGUUAAUCAGCCUGAUGUGUCAUGUUUUUUUAAGGCUAAUCUUAGAGGAUCAUUGUAAGUACGUUGAUGUUAUGUGUCUGGAAAUGGGUGCACAGCUUUUGAACGUGAGAGUAAGGGAUAAAGCAAGCUUAUCCCUGUUUGGGUACCCAGUCUCCGUAUUCUUUAUGGUCAGUCUCAAGUAAUUUACAUGUAACGGCUACGAAUUAAGUUCUUUAAC